GAGAUUGAAUACUUCAUCUUUUCAGCAUUUUUAACUUAGCUCAGCUUUGCCUUUCCAGGAAACCUGGCCUCAAUACCUGAAUAGCUCUCCAUCAUAAACCUAUCAUUUUCCCACAAACGUGCACUUUGCAGCUCCUUCUGCCUUCCACUGACUCCUUCCAGCAAACUGAAAACUUGACACAACUGUGCUUGUAUGGAGAUGCAGUCCUGGUGCCACAGGGAGAGGAAUGGGAACAACGAUGACCAGCACAACCACACCUGCAUCCAACUGGAAGGAUCUGGGUGCAAGUGGGGUUUACGGCAGCUACGCGAGGCAUUUCCAUGGCACGCAGGAGCUGAGUAUUUUGCUGAAAAUGGAUGUGGAAAAUCUCCCCUGAAAUGCAGUGUGUGAACACGAGGUGGCACUUGGGUCUCGUGGAUGGAGGAACAGACAGCCCAGAACCACUUCCUGCGCAAAAGGAGAGAAUUUUAUUGAUGAGCUGAAAAAAAAUGCUGUUGGCAUAAUGUAUGGACUCUACUUGUUUUUUUAAUGCACGCUCUUUCUACUUAGGAUAGGAGUGCUGCUUGGCUGAAUGCACGAAUGUUAGUUAAUGUUGUGCAGUUCCUAUAGUGAAAGAAUGUAUUGGAACUUCAGGAUAUAUGUGCUGCAGUCGGUGUCACCCCUUAUGCACUGGGAAGGUAUUCUAGAUGUAAUUAACUCGAGUCCGCUCUUUUGGGUUUCCAUCUGCAGUCAUCAGCUGUGUGCAGAUUUGGUGUGGGUUUUCCUUUCUGGUUCGAUCCAAAUUCUGAUUUUUUUGAUCAGGUUCAGCACAAUUAUUUUGCAGCAAUGGGAGCCCUCAGUGGGCUUUUUGCUAGAGCCCCUCCAGGAAGGGGCUUUGCCAGACACACAUUGGCCUCCUGCUGGAGCCGAAGGACUUAACACAAAGCUGCAGAGUUUGUGUGAGAUGCACAUAAAACAUGCUUGAAAGAAGAAAUUCAGCCACAGAACAAUGUUUAAAAGGUGCAUUCAAAAUCUCUCUGUUUCAGAAGAACAUGGCAGAAGCUGUGUCUUGUGCUAUGCGAAGGAUGUUUAGUAAGUUAACUUGAAAAGUCCACAGCAGCCUGCAAAACCUAGGACAGAAAUGCCGAACAUUUACCUCCACCCAAUUUAAAUAAAUCAAGCUUUCAGUUACAAAAUAAUAAACUCAGUCUCAAAGAUUUUAUUCCAGAAGAGGAGAAGGAAUUUCACAUUAGCACUGAGCUCUGAUGGGACACGCUCAUCCAUUACAAUAAAAGCACGUAGAUUUAUGAUAAAUGUAAGCUCAAAAAUGGAAAUGCCAGAAUCAAAAAUUGCUGUGAGACUGCUGCUCCCUGAAUAUGAUCUGAUUGUGCUGUAAACUUGAUUGUGCUGUAACUUUCAAACAAUUAUGAAAACAUUUACAUGCUUUUAUUAGCACUUGUAAAUUAUGCGGGGCUUUUUAAUGUGCAGUCAUAAGCAAGAGGAAAGCCUAAACACACAGUAGAAAUCUUCUGAAGGAAGAAAUUGCAAUGGUCUUUCACUUAAUUAAUGUCACAUUUAGUAGCACAGUAUUUUCAGCAAAGAUUUAGCAUGGAAGGAGAUGAAAAUUGCACACAGAAUCUCAUAGAAUUGUAGAGGUUAGAAGGGACCCCUGCGGAUCACUGAAUGGCUGGGACAGAACUGCAGCAAAAGCAUUAUUGGUCAAAGAAGAAAACAGUUUGGGAAAAGGCAGUGGGGUCGUGUAUGGAGGUUCUGAGUCUUGGUGUCUUUGCUGGUGUUUGCUUCCUUUUGUGGCUCAAAAAUCUCAGCCUUGGCUAAUUUGGUGACAAUCACUACUAACUCCCAUAAGGACAGGAUUUGAUGCUAAACUCUGAAGUGGCUUCAUUUUUGGGUAGUGCAUUUUAUUAAUUCAAAUGACAAUUUUGCCUGGGUUUUGCACCUAGCCCCAAACUUAGGGGGUGUCGUGGAAGAGCUUGACAUAUCUUAAAACUGGUGGAAGUGGGCUGUGUUAUGUAUGAAGUUAUUUGACUGGCCUCUGCAGAGAGCAGGAUCUUCUCUGCCCAAGAAGUCAGCACACACAAACCUGCACAUGCAAUUGCUGUAAAGGAGAAAAUCCUUAGUGAAAGGAUAAGCUACUUUGGAAAUAGCUGAGUCCAAGCAAAGACUGCAAAAGAAAGGUGAAGACGUUUAAAUCACAGGCGUAGGCUUCUCCUUUCUAAUGCAGAAUAGCAACUGAACGCAUUUAAAUAAAAAAUGAUUUGCUGUGAAUGGCUUUCGUUUUCUGCUGGGUGGUGCUGGAGGUGGGCAGGUGAGAUGGGAAGUAGGGACCAUGGGUCAGAGCUCCUGUCUAAAGGUUAGGCGGUCUCUGGGUCCACAGAGUGGCUGCGGGCAGCUAUCAGGUGCUCAGACAAGCAGAAUAAAGACUGUAAGCAAGUAAAAAGAGAAAAAAGUCACCAAGUAUUUAUCAUGCAUAAGGCCACCUUCAACCUGUCAAGAGAAAUAAUUGCAAAAUGAUCCAGUAGCACCCGACUUGCUGAGAUCUGCAUCAGCUCUAACUGGGAAGUAAAUAAUACAUUGAGUUUAAUGGUCUCAGUUACUUGAAUUCAAAUGUUAAUUUAAUGAAAUAACUUAGCUGUCAUAAAUGCCAAAACAUGCCAUUAUCGUACAAUCAUACCUAAGUAACAGCUGAGCAUGCUUUACCCACAUGACUAAUCUGUUUCCCCAUGAUCAGUUACCUGGAGCUGUGAUGCUGUUGAUUUCUGAGGUGCUAUAGGGACACUCAGCUCAGCACUGAGCUCUGUCUGCAAUAACCGUACAAUUUCUCCUCUGUUUGCAGAAGCAGAUCCUCAGAAGGCAAGGUCUACUCUUGGAAAAUGUUUUGUGCUGGCUUUGAUGCAAUGUUCUGUUUUCUCUUUUCAUUUUUCUUAGAAAUAUUAAAAAAACUGACCAAAUUAUAGCCUAUGGCAUGCGGUAACAUUUGCAAUGAGAGACUCCAAAGUUCCUUAGACGCAUCCUUUGUGAUGGUUUUAAUAGUCAUUAACAUUAGGUUCGGUUAUCUGUAAGAAGGACCCCUCUUGGUGCUAGUUAGCAGAAAGCUCUGAGCUUCCUGAUGGCCAAGCAGAACUUCCCCUGAAUGGCUCGAGAAUGGGUGCCUCAGCAGGAAGGCAAAGAGUUUGCAGAAGUUCCCAUUUUUUC
This 3192-nucleotide long non-coding RNA is filed under the name Gallus gallus (chicken). The record is from RNAcentral. Lineage: Eukaryota; Metazoa; Chordata; Aves; Galliformes; Phasianidae.